Long non-coding RNA from Epinephelus moara (kelp grouper), 391 nucleotides. RefSeq lists it as uncharacterized. The transcript is spliced from 3 exons. The record is from RefSeq and is a predicted model, not a curated record. NCBI's taxonomy places the organism in Eukaryota, Metazoa, Chordata, Actinopteri, Perciformes, Serranidae.
CUGAAUGGAGCAUACAGAGUACUGUCUACGAAGAUGUCAAAGCGGGCAUAUCCCUCAGGAGCGGAGAAGAGGAAGAAAAACAAAGUCAAACAAACAAGCUCAAGGAGAGCAAUAUUCAGAUAUUUUGGUGGAGGAUAAACGCACUGCAGCUGGAGAUGACAAUACUCCAACUCCUGGUUCAUCCACAGAGGACACCUCAACAGAUGCUCCUGGUACAUAGACUAUAUUUCCAACAGGAAAUGAAUAAUGUCUUUGUUUACAACAAUUUGAACUCAUUUAUGAUUUUUAGAUAUAACGAUUAAGAUACUGAUAUAAAGUAAUAUACACCAAAAUUUAAAAAGAAUGUUAAUGUUAAAUGUUACUGGGUUUUUUUUCUUACAUUACAGUACAU